RNAcentral lists this small nuclear RNA (71 nucleotides) under Xenopus tropicalis (tropical clawed frog). RNAcentral describes it as "Xenopus (Silurana) tropicalis (western clawed frog) U4 spliceosomal RNA". It matches the Rfam family "U4 spliceosomal RNA", at positions 1 to 65 of the family's 138-position model. Rfam says of the family: U4 small nuclear RNA (U4 snRNA) is a component of the major U2-dependent spliceosome. Lineage: Eukaryota; Metazoa; Chordata; Amphibia; Anura; Pipidae. The record is from Rfam by way of RNAcentral.
ACCCUUGUGCAGUGGCAGUGGCAGUAUCAUAGCCAAUGAGGUCCAACCGAGGUGUGAUUAUUGCUAAUUGC